This 512-nucleotide long non-coding RNA is filed under the name Lathyrus oleraceus (garden pea). Its description in RNAcentral is "Pisum sativum (pea) long non-coding RNA (PSAT_LNC012357)". The record is from RNAcentral. Lineage: Eukaryota; Viridiplantae; Streptophyta; Magnoliopsida; Fabales; Fabaceae.
CUAAAACAUUAUCAUUAUGCUGAAAACAAUGAAGACUCGCAAGUCCUGCACUUAGACGUAUUGUCUCCAAAAUUAAUAGAUUAACAUUUAAUAAUUUUAUGUCGAGCUUGCGACAUUAAACAAAGCGCUUCGUGGGAGACAACCCACAAAUUUUUAUUUUUUUCUUUGAUUAUUCUUUUUGAUUUUAUUCAGUUUUCAUUCUUCAUUUUCUUUAUUUUAUUAAAUUUUCUUCUUUUCUUCUUUCGGCAUUGUCGCAUCCGCGAAAAACAACCAGCGGGCUAAAACAAAACAACACAGAGCCGCCACCGUGCGUUAUUUAUCCCAAAAGAGGGAAAGGAAACGCUCAGAGUAAACCUGGGAAAAGCAAGGUCUCGCGACUAAAGAGAAAGGGUACGGGAGUCGGUUACGCAAGGGGAAGGUAUUAGCACCCCUCACGUCCGUCGUACUCGACGGGAUCCACGCUCUAAAGAAAGAAAAAGUUGUUAAACAAACAUCACACACACACGUCGAAG